This 1459-nucleotide ribosomal RNA is filed under the name uncultured bacterium. Its description in RNAcentral is "bacterial SSU rRNA". It matches the Rfam family "Bacterial small subunit ribosomal RNA". The record is from RNAcentral.
AUUGAACGCUGGCGGCAGGCUUAACACAUGCAAGUCGAGCGGAGCGAGGGUGCUUGCACCUUAGCUUAGCGGCGGACGGGUGAGUAAUGCUUAGGAAUCUGCCUAUUAGUGGGGGACAACAUUCCGAAAGGGAUGCUAAUACCGCAUACGCCCUACGGGAGAAAGCAGGGGAUCUUCGGACCUUGCGCUAAUAGAUGAGCCUAAGUCGGAUUAGCUAGUUGGUGGGGUAAAGGCCUACCAAGGCGACGAUCUGUAGCGGGUCUGAGAGGAUGAUCCGCCACACUGGGACUGAGACACGGCCCAGACUCCUACGGGAGGCAGCAGUGGGGAAUAUUGGACAAUGGGGGGAACCCUGAUCCAGCCAUGCCGCGUGUGUGAAGAAGGCCUUUUGGUUGUAAAGCACUUUAAGCGAGGAGGAGGCUACUGGUAUUAAUACUACUGGAUAGUGGACGUUACUCGCAGAAUAAGCACCGGCUAACUCUGUGCCAGCAGCCGCGGUAAUACAGAGGGUGCGAGCGUUAAUCGGAUUUACUGGGCGUAAAGCGUGCGUAGGCGGCUUUUUAAGUCGGAUGUGAAAUCCCUGAGCUUAACUUAGGAAUUGCAUUCGAUACUGGGAAGCUAGAGUAUGGGAGAGGAUGGUAGAAUUCCAGGUGUAGCGGUGAAAUGCGUAGAGAUCUGGAGGAAUACCGAUGGCGAAGGCAGCCAUCUGGCCUAAUACUGACACUGAGGUGCGAAAGCAUGGGGAGCAAACAGGAUUAGAUACCCUGGUAGUCCAUGCCGUAAACGAUGUCUACUAGCCGUUGGGGGAUUUGAUCCUUUAGUGGCGCAGCUAACGCGAUAAGUAGACCGCCUGGGGAGUACGGUCGCAAGACUAAAACUCAAAUGAAUUGACGGGGGCCCGCACAAGCAGCGGAGCAUGUGGUUUAAUUCGAAGCAACGCGAAGAACCUUACCUAGACUUGACAUCUCCUGCAUUACCCUUAAUCGGGGAAGUUCCUUCGGGGACAGGAAGACAGGUGGUGCAUGGUUGUCGUCAGCUCGUGUCGUGAGAUGUUGGGUUAAGUCCCGCAACGAGCGCAACCCUUAUUGUUAGUUGCUACCAUUUAGUUGAGCACUCUAGCGAGACUGCCCGGGUUAACCGGGAGGAAGGUGGGGAUGACGUCAAAUCAUCAUGCCCCUUAUGUCUAGGGCUACACACGUGCUACAAUGGCAAGUACAAAGAGACGCAAGACCGCGAGGUGGAGCAAAACUCAAAAACUUGUCUCAGUUCGGAUUGUAGGCUGAAACUCGCCUACAUGAAGCUGGAGUUGCUAGUAAUCGCGAAUCAGCAUGUCGCGGUGAAUACGUUCCCGGGCCUUGUACACACCGCCCGUCACACCAUGAGAGUUGGCAAUACCCAACGUACGUGAUCUAACCCGCAAGGGAGGAAGCGUCCUAAGGUAGGGUCAGCGAUUGGGGUG